GACGAACGCUGGCGGCGUGCUUAACACAUGCAAGUCGAGCGGUAAGGCCCUUUCGGGGGUACACGAGCGGCGAACGGGUGAGUAACACGUGGGUGACCUGCCUUUAGCUCUGGGAUAAGCCUGGGAAACUGGGUCUAAUACUGGAUAUGACUCCAUGACGCAUGUUGUGGGGUGGAAAGCCUUGUGCGGUUGAGGAUGGGCCCGCGGCCUAUCAGCUUGUUGGUGGGGUGAUGGCCUACCAAGGCGACGACGGGUAGCCGGCCUGAGAGGGCGACCGGCCACACUGGGACUGAGACACGGCCCAGACUCCUACGGGAGGCAGCAGUGGGGAAUCUUGCGCAAUGGGCGAAAGCCUGACGCAGCGACGCCGCGUGAGGGAUGACGGCCUGGUGUAA
Molecule: ribosomal RNA, 395 nt
Filed under: uncultured bacterium
Lineage: Bacteria
Description: bacterial SSU rRNA
Rfam family: Bacterial small subunit ribosomal RNA
Source: RNAcentral